GAUGAAGAACGUAGCGAAAUGCGAUACUUGGUGUGAAUUGCAGAAUCCCGUGAACCAUCGAGUCUUUGAACGCAAGUUGCGCCCGAAGCCACUAGGCCGAGGGCACGCCUGCCUGGGCGUCACACGUCGUUCCCCCCCCAUCUACUCCUUCGGGAUUGCAGGGGGCGGAUGAUGGCCUCCCGUGCGCCUCGCCGCGCGGUUGGCAUAAAUACCAAGUCCUAGACGACGCACGCCACGACAAUCGGUGGUUGCGAAACCUCGGUUGCCCGUCGUGUGCGUUCGUCGCGCAUCGAGGGCUCGAAAAAAUGCUCGGCUCCGGCUCGGCUUUCAACGCGACCCCAGGUCAGGCGGGGUUACCCGCUGAAUUUAAGCAUAUCAAUAAGCGGAGGA
RNAcentral lists this unclassified non-coding RNA (390 nucleotides) under soil metagenome. RNAcentral's name for it is "partial contains 5.8S ribosomal RNA, internal transcribed spacer 2, and large subunit ribosomal RNA". The stretch from base 1 to 122 matches the Rfam family "5.8S ribosomal RNA", at positions 35 to 154 of the family's 154-position model. The record is from RNAcentral.